GUGGAGGAGGGCACGGCGUGUUUCCAGUCCCCGGGGGAGUGGUGGGAGGACGCCCGACUACCGGGGGGACAGUGAUGGGUGGAUAUCCGAUGACCGGGGGGACGGUGAUGGGAGGUUUGACGAUGAUGGGGGGGUGGGUGAUGGGAGGUUUGACGAUGAUGGGGGGGUGGGUGAUGGGAGGUUUGACGAUGAUAGGGGGCUUGGCUUUGGGGGGCUUAGCUUUGGGGGGCUUGGACUUGGGAGGCUUGGGCUUGGUGGUGGGGGGGUAUGGGCAACGGCCACAGCCAACAAUGGGAGUAAGGGAGGAAAUAA
This 312-nucleotide long non-coding RNA is filed under the name Elaeis guineensis (African oil palm). RNAcentral describes it as "long non-coding RNA (EGUI_LNC005098)". Lineage: Eukaryota; Viridiplantae; Streptophyta; Magnoliopsida; Arecales; Arecaceae. The record is from RNAcentral.